RNAcentral lists this ribosomal RNA (253 nucleotides) under uncultured bacterium. RNAcentral describes it as "partial 16S ribosomal RNA". It matches the Rfam family "Bacterial small subunit ribosomal RNA", at positions 524 to 776 of the family's 1533-position model. The record is from RNAcentral.
UACGUAGGGUCCGAGCGUUGUCCGGAAUUAUUGGGCGUAAAGGGCUCGUAGGCGGUUUGUCACGUCGGGCGUGAAAACUCAGGGCUCAACCCUGAGCGUGCGUCCGAUACGGGCAGACUAGAGGUAUGCAGGGGAGAACGGAAUUCCUGGUGUAGCGGUGGAAUGCGCAGAUAUCAGGAGGAACACCGGUGGCGAAGGCGGUUCUCUGGGCAUUACCUGACGCUGAGGCGCGAAAGCUAGGGGAGCAAACGGG